This 554-nucleotide ribosomal RNA is filed under the name Chloroflexota bacterium. RNAcentral describes it as "partial 23S ribosomal RNA". It matches the Rfam family "Bacterial large subunit ribosomal RNA", at positions 1 to 520 of the family's 2925-position model. Lineage: Bacteria; Bacillati; Chloroflexota. The record is from RNAcentral.
GGUCAAGUUAUUAAGAGUCUACGGUGGAUGCCUUGGGGCCAAGGGCCGAAGAAGGGCGCGGCAAGACUGCGAAAAGCCUCGGUGAGCCGUCUGGCGAGCUUAGCCGGGGAUACCCGAAUGGGGAAACCCAUCCUGGCUCAUACCAGGAAACCCUGCGAAAACGCAGGGAGGUAAGUGGGGGAACUGAAACAUCUAAGUACCCUGAGGAAAAUAAAUCAACAGAGAUUCCCCUAGUAGUGGCGAACGAACGGGGAAGAGCUCAAACCUAUCGGACUUAGUGGACUGGGGUCCUAUGUCCGGUGGGGGUUGUAACACAUGCUAGUUCAAGCCCCAGCGAGAACACGGAGUAAGAAACCCGAACCUUAGCUGAACGAAUCUGGAAAGGACGACCGAAGAGGGUGAUAGUCCCGUAAGCGAAAGGGUUUGGGCUCCUGGCAUGCUGUUGAGUACCACGGGACACGUGAAAUCCUGUGGGAAGCUGGGGGGACCACCCUCCAAAGCUAAAUACCCUUGGCCACCGAUAGUGAACCAGUACCGUGAGGGAAAGGUGAAAA